UUUUUUUAUACCAAGAGGACUAGCUUGUAAUUUUCAAGCUAAUAGCCAAAACAUUGAAGGAUAAUUAAGGGUGUGUUUGGCAUCAUUGCUGUUUUUGUUUUUUUUUUUUAUGUUUUUUACCCCAAAAUAAAACAAAACAGUGUUUGGUAAAAUAGCUUAAAAUAACAACUUUACAUCUAUUUUGUAAAAACUACAACAAUAAACCUAAAACAUCUCAAAACAGUUUUUAGGGGUUUUUUAAAAAUAAAUAAAUAAAUAAUAAUAAAAAAUAUAUAUAUAUAUAUUAAAAAAAAAAAAAAAACCUAUCAAAGCUACGCUUUUCAUCAAUGGUUUCUCCUUCAAAUUCGAUAUUACAUCUUUCUUCCUCAAACCUUAAUCAUUCUCAAGAUUGAAGAAGCAAGCAAUUAUAGAAAGAGAUACGAGGCGUCCAAGUAAAAUGGUGAAUUGCGGCUGUGGCUUUCCCUGUGCGAAGAGGACCUUCUGGACUCAUGAUAAUCCGGGAAGAAGGUUUGAGGCUUGCAAAAAGUACAACCACGACACUGGAGAAAGAGGUUGCAACACUUUCAAAUGGCUGGAUGAGGAGCAAACAGAGUGGCAACGUGAGGUGAUUAAUGUAUUACUUGCUGAGAGGCAUAGGAGGGCAACCGAGUUGACUAUUGUGAAGGCUAGACUUUCUUGCCUUGAAGAUCACAAUAUUCUUCACAGGGGAAUGCAAAGAAGCUUUGUUCCAUAAAUGCUGGGGGGUAUAAGCUAGCUGUCUUUUGUGUUGUUGUCUCUGUGUUUGUUAGUGUGGUGUUGAUGAAAAUGUUUGGGUAGUUAGAAUGCUAGGUCUGCUGGUUUGGUAAGUAUGUAGGGGUUAAAGCAAGGUUGGUAAGUUGUUGAUUUUAGCUAAGUAGACUUUGUUAUUUUGGUGGGGGGGGGUUAAGUUAAGUGAAAUGCUAAGAAUGUGGUGUAUUUUGUACCCCUUUUAUGAAAUCAAAAAACAAGCUUUUGGUAUCAAUCAUAUUUUGGUUCAUGUUCAUU
Molecule: long non-coding RNA, 1023 nt
Organism: Chenopodium quinoa (quinoa)
Lineage: Eukaryota; Viridiplantae; Streptophyta; Magnoliopsida; Caryophyllales; Amaranthaceae
Exons: 3
Source: RefSeq, a predicted model, not a curated record